This is a long non-coding RNA of Acanthopagrus latus (yellowfin seabream), 4175 nucleotides long. RefSeq lists it as uncharacterized. The record is from RefSeq and is a predicted model, not a curated record. Lineage: Eukaryota; Metazoa; Chordata; Actinopteri; Spariformes; Sparidae. The transcript is spliced from 2 exons.
CAGGUUUUACCAUGAGAGCAGAAACUGGCCUGCGUUUAAUUGCAGAGACGAGGACAUUGGCUUGUCCGUUACAAUCAAUGUUCACAUUAUUUUUCUAUGCAACAGUAAAGAGUCACAAAUAAACAUCUGCUUCUGACAUCAUAUCACACAAACAUAAGCUAUGUAAGCUGGGGAGAUAGUACUAACAAUGGAAUAAAACACAUCUGUGUUAUGUUUGGUUACACACGUCUGCACAGUACAAAGCCUUUGGUUGUUUGGCUUUUUCGGGAGAAACAGGUGAAAGUGUUGUUUUUGCUGUACAUGGGCGUGAUCACGUGAUUUCAUAUGAAGUUCCAAGGCACAUAGAUAAAGUUACUGCACAGAAAAGUACAUAUCCAUGGCUGUACACUGUCAGAAACAAGCAUGUUUUGUAAGUUACAACCAGCUUGGCUAGAUUUCGUCCCAGCGGCCGGAAAAAAACCCCUCUGCAGUCUACAUUUCUGCCGACCACAGGUAUGUUGAAUGUGUGUAUAUCAUGCCUACCAUAUCGACAACACACAAUAAGUGUCAUAUCAUGUUCACAUGACAUGUAUAUAAGCUGACUGUCAUGUCAAGGAGGAGGAGGGAUGUUGACGUGACAGCUGUGACUGCUUGGAGCCAGAGAAGACUGUUCAAGACUAUGUUUGAACUCUUGUCAGCACUAAAACAGGACCAUAGUAUAUUUUCCAUCCACGAUGGUGGCAACAAAACUUUGAUAGUGAUGAGACAAACCUGGUAUUUUUCUAACAACAUGUCGAGACAACUUCCAGAAGUGUUUGUGGCAGCAGAACCACUGCGAAAUAUGACCUUUUUCUGACCCUUGCCAAUUUUUUUUUGUGUGUCUGAACCCAACUGGACCAAAUGCCCAGCAUUGUCACCACAUAAAAUUGAAAGAAAAAAAAAAAGUUUAAACAAAUGUUAACAUAUCUGUGGUUUGCAGAAUCGUACACUGCCAACAUUUAUUCUCGCAGUUGGUUCGCUAAAUUUGGCUUAGUCAGCAUUAUAUUGCUGAAUUUGCAGUGCUGAAAAACCCACGUCUGAUUUAAUUACUCUCACCACAAGUAUGACAUAUGCUUCUGAUCAUAACUCCAAAAGCUACAAAGUUGUACGUUUUUCUGAGAGUGUACAUAAUGAAAAAAAAAAAUGCUUCCACCUGGUACGUGUGUCGACCGUUUUUUCGCUAUUAAGGUGACACUGACGGUGGGAUAUGCGACCCUUCCUCUCCCACCCUAUGCAGGAACAAGCGGAGGAUACCACAAAACAUAGAGUUAAUUAAUAUUGAACGAUGCAUCCUCGGGAGUGCACGCUCUAGCCCUUCGCAAUUCAACUUGUGUUUUUUUUUUUUUUUUUUUGGACAAAAAGAAACAGAGCAGGCAGAGGUUUCCCAUUCCUCUGCUUCUGCCUCUCAUCUGUACACUAUACAGUGGCGGGAACAAGGAACAAGAACGAGAGCUCCGUGUCAACCCAGACGAGCACAUGUUCCUCAGAACGUGACCUAGUUUCAGAGAAACGUUGAGGUCUCGACUCCACAAAAUGACAAAAGGAAGCGGCUACUAUGGGCGCCGUUUUAAUCGCCUCAGCUGCCCUCUUGGCGCUACAUGUACACUGGCUUUUUUGCACACAUCAUCUUAUCAACAUCUAUUAAACAUCAGAAUGAUUCAUUAGGUACAUUAAGUAUGUCCAAAUAGCCUGCAGCGGUGGCAAGGCAGAGUGUGUACCCUUCCAUAUGGUUCAGCGGAUAUCAGCUCAGUUCGUUUGGGUGGGAGUAAAACGUGUGUCAGCUCAAAUUGUUCCUCGCCAGCUGCGCACGCGAACGAAAGACAGAAAGGGAUAGAAAGACAAAGAGAGAGAAAGAGUAAAAGUAAUUAGCUGAGGAUGAUGACAGCAUGGUACUUGCACUUCAGGCUCAAAGGCGCUAAACACCUUAACUGUAACAGUUGGGAUUGUGAGAUGAGUUUCUCACCAUGGCGCACACAUACGCACACACACACACACAUUUACAGAUGCACGCAUUUGGUACCGAGAGCAGAGGAAUAAAGAUACAUAGAUAUUGCAUGUUUCGGGAUGAUUCACAAGUUUUUUCUUCGUAACGUUAAUCGAAUCACACUCCUAACAAACAGAAACUCCGGCUGUGGUUGUAGCUCCCGUAAAGCCUUUGGUCUAGCGAUGUGUCACAAUAAUACCACACAAACACACGGUCGACUGGGUCAGCAUGACGAAGAGUCGGUCACCCCUACCGCCCUCUGUAUUACUCAGACAAGACUGCAAGGAGCUCAUGUCUGAGUGACACAUGGUUUUUGUAUUUUCGUUGCUUUAUAUACAUCAUGUGAAACUGUACUGAGCCCCAACGCAUGCCUAGAAAUGUGCGCCAACAUGAGCGUGUCUAUUCUGACCUGCGAGCGUAGAUGGGACUGACAGUGCUACACAUACUACUGCUACUAUAGCGACAGCCCAGAGACAAUGUCAUGACAAAUUAUACGCUGUGUGGUCAUCUAUGUGUCUGUGUGUGUGAGUGUGUGUGUGUGUGUGUGUGAGGCUACAGGUAAUCAUUUUCUGCAGUAAGCUCUCAGGACGAGCCCUGUCCGGCUCCACAUCUCUUCUGACUGCGCUGAUUGAUGGCUCCUAACUUGACUGAUGUGCCCGGGGCGAAGUGAAUCCGACACUGCACCAUAUGGUGGGUGACCUUAUUACCACAGAGGCUUUGCAGCCGUUUGACAAAUCUCCCAGCAACCAGGUGUGGCUCCAUCAUGGAGGUCCAUCAGAGAAAAGUCGCCGUGCACAAACAGCCUGAUAGCUAAACGGAAAUAGAUGUCUAUCCCGGACGUGGACUCAUUCAGUCAGCAUUAAUGGAGUGAUAAGCUUCCCAGAUUGAAAGGUCUUUGCUGUAGCUCCUUUGGCUCAUACUUACCAGUGAAGCUGUACCUAAGUGGAAUCAGCCCAAUUAUCUACUAUCUCUAACUGGUACUGUUUUAGAGAGCAAAUUAACCAGCAAGCCAGUUUAUGAAAAUGAUGUCACAUGGGGUAAGUUUGGGUCAUCAAUGGAGCAGUCCUAGUAUAGACACUAUUAAUAUUUAACAAUGAAUAAAUGUUCUAAUUCAGAGUAAUCGCCAUGGGCCGAUUUCCUCUGACGUCGGACUCAACUCUUCUUCGGGUGGGAAGCUCAACUGCUUGGGAUAAUGUUAUGCUGCUGUGUUCCGUGAAUCAUAAUCAUGUGGAUCAUAAUCAUUUCUUCACUUCCUUAUUGAUCAGCAGCUGAAUACUAUAAAUAUUGAACAUACAUGAGGACUUUGGGUGGUACUUUAAAGUACAACCACAUAUUUGCAAACCCAUUAGUUCUGAUAAAACAGCAGGUAUCGUGUGCAUUCAACGUGCCUGGUGAGCAUGACCGUUUGACCGUUCAAGGUGUGUUAAUAUUCAUCAUAAUGUAAAACUAUUAUACACUUUUGUUUGCUAGGAGGGUUGAAUGCUAACGUUAGCUGGUGACUCAUGGAAGCUAACAGGGAAGAAAUAUAUGGUCAUGUCUUGAAAUAUCGACCAAUGUCCCUUGGUUGUCUGGGUUGUCACUAUCACCUGUCUUCAGUUGCUAAUCAGUCAGGAGAUACUGAAACAAUUUGUCAGAUAACAACAGCAGUGGCAACAUUUGAGCGACCCACCUUGAGCGUGACGUCUGUGACUGAUAGAUGCCGCCAGAUCUUUGGCUUAACUUUAGCUCAGAGCUAACAUCAGCAUGCUAACAUGCACACAAAGCACGCACACAUUUAAAAGAUUCAAGCUGUUAUAAAGCAAGCAAGGUCAGAGCGACUGCAGAGAGGUUUCCCUCUCCUUCCACUUAAUCAAUAAUCCAGGAUGUUAAAACCACAAUUUAUGCCCUGGUGCACCUCCUCUUGCCAUGAUGCCAGCUAGAGAGUGAAAAUGGGCUUCCUUCCUUUGCCUGAAAAUAAGACGUCACGUUAGGAGGUCAUCGCCAUGUUGUUGCCCCGUUGAUUAUGUAAGAGCAGAUCAAUCAGCUGGCAUGAAUAAAACAUAACCACGGAACAAUUCAAGGUUGCGCUUUGUUGAUUUUUCUCUCUACAGACUCACAGUGUCGGCUGUUUUCCGCUGACAUGUUCGGGCAGUUUCUUCAGCAGUAUUUCCACAUUCAGAAAAAAAAAAAAAAA